This 9848-nucleotide long non-coding RNA is filed under the name Homo sapiens (human). Its description in RNAcentral is "non-protein coding lnc-ZNF14-2:1". The record is from RNAcentral. Lineage: Eukaryota; Metazoa; Chordata; Mammalia; Primates; Hominidae.
UAAGGACCUGGUCAGUUGGAAUCUCAUCAGUUAAGGACCUGGCCCAGGACAUGGAGAUGCCCGAUGCUGGGAGGAGGCACAGACAGCAGGAAGGAGAGAAGGAAGGAACUUCCAUAGUAUGGAUGCCUACGAAGUUACAACACGUGGUUCCAUCGCCAUGUUCUCUGUUUAUUUCCCACAUAAUUCUCUAUUCUAAACUGGCCUCAGUUGAGCACAAAACCAUCCUUGUACUACCACAAAUAGUUGGCCAUGGCUCUUUGAUAGCAGUUUUUAUUCUGCUGUGGAAAUUAUCCUUGAACUGGAAAAAGUCCCCAAUCCAACAUCCAGUCACUCAACACUCUCAUCUUUAUAAAGAGCUGCUUUCAAAUUCUACAUCGAUUUUUGGAAAAAUAUGUAUUGCUCUGGUAAAAAGUGCUGCAUCUAUGAUCUCAAACCUCUCCCUCGAAUUGGAUGGAGAUGGUGAAUUUCAGCCAAAGUGGCCAAAGAACUCGUGUCCCACGCUCCUGAACGCCAUCAGCCCCCGCACCUCCAUCAUUCCUCCUCCCACGAGUCUCCUGCUCCCCGUGACUUUGGCCUUCUCUCGGUGCUGCUGAGGCACAUCAGGAAGUGCUGGAGGACGUGGCACUGCGCCAGCACUGGGCGGCCGGCCGUGUAGCUCAUCCCGCAGAUCGUGCUCUACCUGUGCUUGGAGAUGAAGUCCUCCUGGAAGCAGCUCGUGGCCCACUUCUCAGGCAUCAUCACUUCAUCACUGCCCUGACUGUCCUGGUUGCCACGAAAGAGCUGCUGAGGCCACGGCUGUCGGGCACGCCUGCCGUCUGAAGCCUGCACCGGCUGCUGAAAGGUAUUCAGUGGUGGCACGUGCUGCGGCUGUAGCACCGGCUGGAAAGUGUCAGGAAGGGGUCUCAAGGAGGUGGGCAGCAUACCGGGCAUGGCCUCGAAGCCUCCUGACAGCAUGUUGGCAGCGUGGCUGAGAUGCUGGGGCCACCAUCACCUGCCAGUCCCAGCUUGGAGUCAUAGAUCACCUGCACGGCACAGAUGAGGCUGGGAAGAGGCCACAGUCACUGUAGCCAUGGACGCUCUUGAGCAGCCCUUGAUGUCCUGCUCCCGCACAGGCUCAGCACCUCGUGUUCCUGCAGCAAGUUCUUGCCGGGGUUCUCUGACCUGAAAUGGUACAACAACCGGGUGAGGUGUGCCAUGUCCCCUGCGUGGCCAUCGGUGCUGCAGCUAAAGGCCCAUGGCACCCCGGUGCCCUCCCCUACCAAGCAGGGCUGGGGUUGAGGCCGGGCCCCUCUGGACCUAGGACUUGUGCCCUGGGAGGGGACUCUGUCCAACAAGUCAAAUCAGAGGCCACAGGGCAUGCUCCUGGCUGGCCAGGGCUGGGAGGACACCACGUUCACCCCUCCCUCUGGCAGCCUGAAAGGGACCAGCUUCCCUGUUGAGAGGGACUUCAUAAGGCCCAGGAGCCAUCUGGGGCUGCAGAGCAACUGGCUGGGAGCUGCCCUGGCUCCUUCCAUGCCAUGCUAGUCAUUGCCCACCAAGAGGGGUCCGAUGCAAGUGCCCCCAUGCAAGGGACUUAUCUCUGGACCUGCCUCUCAGUUCUCACGGGGCCCAGCAGGGCCUGGUGUUGUGGCCAAGAUGGGGUUGCAGGGCUGGGCCCCACUGAUGGUCCUGGGGCUGUGUAGGGUGGAUGUGGAAGGGACGGAGCACAGCAUCCCUGUUCAAAAUUGCACAAUGGGAACCACGGGCCUCUGACAGCCAAGUCUCUGGGCAGCUUCGGGAGGGAGUUCAGAAAAUGCAUGGGUCCAUUCUGAACCCUCAGGAUCCCCAGAGAGCAACCUGCUGCCCUGAGCUUUCUGGAAGCUCCUUCGUGCCCCUGGGCCUCAGUCUUGGAGACUGCCAGCCAGGUCAGGGUGGGAGAGGACCAGGGUUGCAUUCCGGGGUAGGGGGCUGGCUGCAUGGACCCCUGGAGCUAAGCUGGUAGGCAGGGGCGGGCCAGCCCAUCUCCCUUGCAGAGGGGCUCAAUGCCAGGGUAUGCUCACAGAGGCCUGGGUGCCAAGGACCCUCGAUUGGGUUUGGCUGAAAAAAUAGCAGAUGCGAGCGGUCAGCUUCUCCUCCAAGUCCAUUAAGUCCUCACAAGGCUGGGCCCCACAGACCUGGGUCUCUGGUGUCCUCAGCAUCCCUGUGUGGCUUCUUGAGUCUGACUCUGAGGACACCCCUGCAGGCUGCUGAUCACAGAGCAAGAGGUGUGUGGAUCCCUCAGGGCACGGGGAGCUGUUGGGGCACCUCACGUCACUCCUGGGGCUGUGGCUUAGGAUUCAGGCUGGCUCCAGACUUCCUCCUUCACCUCCUCAUCCCAGGGCUGUGUGGCCUGGGUAGCAGCCCUAAUUCAGAACCAGGUGGGAGAGGCCUUGGCUGUCACCUAGCCCCCUUGCCACCUCACACAAGACACUAUCUCCACAGUGGGUGAGAUGGUCCCAGGCACGGGGCCCCCUUUGCCCUCCAGGACCGUCCACUCCAUGCCUGGACGGGACCAUUCCCACACCUGCACCUGGCUGAACUCUUGGAUCUGGCUCUGGCCAGGGCUCCUAUCCGUGUCCUCUCCCCAAGUCCUCUGGGUCAGUGACACUGAUUCUCUUUUUCCCCUGGCUCAAGGCUUAUUGCCCUGACGUCCUUGGAGGGGGAUUCUGGAGUGAGCGGCCCCUGCUCCUCUCAGCAUCUGUCGAUGUUGGGAUGGUGGUUAGGGAGCUCGCACAGAGGAGAGAGGAUGUAAAAAGCAUAGGGGGCGUUGAGGGUUCUUUCUCCAGUCCCUGCCUGUCUGAGCAGCAUGUCCAGUACAUAUGCGCUCAGCACCUGCCCAGAAGCUGCUUAGUGUAGAGGAGGAAAAGACAGAAAAAGAGGUGCAGGAGGAAGGGCCAGGUAGUAGGGCUGGUGGGGCCGGGGCCCUCUCCACUAUCGAAUGCUCCAGAGGAUGACUUAGGAGAGGGGACCUGGUGCUGGAGCCCACGAGGGGGUGGCAGAUCCCAGCACUGGCUCAUCAGUUCCCCCACAAAGGCCUCAAAGUGCCUGAGCACUGUGGCAUCCUCCAGGGCCCAGGCCUGGGAGCACCGGUCCUGAAAGAACUCCCUCCCACAGGGUGGACUGGGACAGGUUCAUGGUCGCUCAAGGGACAGGAAGGGCAUCAGGCCGGGAGGGGUUCCUGGAAGGGGUUGGUGCCCACACCCCGUUUCCAACACUGCCACCUCCCACUGAGCAGCACUGGGUCCUUCUGUGGCCAACCCUGGGGUCCAGCUGUGCACAGGAGGCCAUGGCCGGGGGAGGCCCGGGCAGGGAGGUUCCCACCACACUCCCACCUUUCACAUGGAUCACUCAUUUCAAGGGUGGGCUCAGGGUCUGGGAGAACCCACUAUGCCCUGCCCAGCCCUACAGGCCAGGCCUGGCCAUCCCUGGCCAUCCCUUCUGAUGAGAGCAGAAGGUCAUGGGGACAGAGGCCUCAGGCCAGCCAGGCUGUGUCCCAUGAGUUCCCCAGGAAACCUCAGACACAGGGGGACUUGCUUCUGUGAACCUCGAAGGCCGUGGGCGCCAUUGCCAUUAUUGCAUGCUUCAUCUUCAGGCUGAACCCGAAGGGGAUCUGUGGGGACAGCAGGUGUGAGAGGACCUGGCCCUUCCAGGCUGGGAGCUGGUGGCCCAAGCAGGGCCCACUGUGGUUUCAGUCCCCUGGAGUGCCAGGGACCCGUCCCCAUGGGAUGAGCUGCCACCAUGAGGCUGGGUCAGAAGAGGUCUUGCAGCUCCUCAUGGAGGGGACUCAUCUCAGCAGGGAUGUAGCUCCUGGAGGGAGGGGCUCCCCAGGGCCUUGGACUUCCCCGGGCUCUUCCAAGUGGAGACCUGGCCCGUUCUGCCCUGGCCUCUGCUGUGGGAUGCCCCCUCUCAGGUGUUGCCUGGCUUGUGUGCCCUGUGGGGACCCGCCUGUGCCUCCUGCUGGGUGGGGGUGAGCCAGGUCCUCCUGGGGAAGCCGGACCCCUGGGCUGGGGGAGCCAAGCAGUGCGGGGCAGGAGGGUCCCUGGACUGGGAGCUUCCAGUGCCUCAUUACCCCCAUUUAAAGCACCAGAGGAGCCAGUGUAAACGUGGAAUUCUGGGCAUGCAGCUCAUCCUUGUCCUGAUGGGAGGAGCAGAGGUGCUCAGGGCCCCUUGGGCUGCCCCCAAAACAUCCCUAUUUCAGGCCCCUCUGCAGCCCUUCCCUGAGGGACAGAACACUGGGCGGUCCCCAGGGCACCCCGCCACACCUGCCCCCCGCAUGGACCUUCGGUGGACACACUUCCCUUAGCCCAGCUCAGCCAGAGCCCAGUCCCCGUCCCAGAGCCUCUGCCUGCUCCAGAGCAGAAAAAGGAAACCCAACUACAAUCCCAUGGAGAACCCCACAUCCCAGGUCUGGCCCCUGCUGGGACUCAACCUCUCACCCCCUAUGAGGAGGAGCCAGAACCUCCCUCUACCCCUGAUCCCCAAGCCUCUGGGGAAGAGCCAAGGGGACCGUCUCCUCACCAAGUCCUCAUAAGCUUCGGGGAUGAUGUCCAUAACACGUGUCCCGGGUGGGCUUAGAGUCUCUGGAGCCUGGCACAAUUUGAACUGCAGAAUCCUGAGAGCCCACAACCUAUCACAAAAUCAAAGCCUGCUCCCAAGACGUGGAGCCGUCAGCUGGAAGAGCUGGCACUGGCAGGGGUCCUCAGACCCCCAGGUCUCCCACCCUCCCAUCUGGCCCCUCCAGCAUGCAGCCUUGGCCCAGGGGAGGAGGGGCAGGAAUGUCCCCGGGAUCCUGGCGGGAGGAGCUGCCCAGUGGGGGCCCUGAGCUGAGGUAUUAGGAGGAGAGGCCUGCCGUGGAGGCCAAGAGGGAGGAACGUGGCAGGCAGGGGCCAGCAGGGUGAGCGGGGUGGGUGCUGGGGGUGCAUUACUGUCUUCUGGACAUUCAUAGGGUCAGGCUAGGGGACAUGCGAUGAGGAAGCAUUACUGUCUGGGUUUCAUCUGCCUGUCUGAGGGUGACGAGGACGGCUAGGAGCACAGUCAGCCACCAGGAGGCAGGAGGACCCUCAGGGAGGUGAGCGUUGCCUGCGCAAAGUCGGGGUUGGAGGACCAAGCCUCCGGGAUACAGAAGGUAGCCACAGGGAGGCUGUGAUGCCCUCUGCUGAUGGGGAUGAGAGGCAUCUAACUCAGGGUGUGGGGGUCCCUAUCCAGUCCCAGGCUCCUGCAUGACCCACAGCAGGCAACAUCCUAGAGGCUCCAAACGAGCUGGGGACACAAGGAAGGCUCCUUGCCUGGAAGCUGAGAUCACCUAGCCAGGGUGACCAUCCCCAGGCCUGGCUGUGUGAGUCCCCAUGGGCAGCUGUCCACCUACCCUGCAAGGAGUGCCUCUCACCAGCCAGCAGCUGGGCCACCACUCAGAAGGUAUCUUUUCUGGGCAGAUAGAGGAGAGUGGCAGCAAUGCAGCUCAUGGCCCUGCAGUAGCCCAGCUCCUGCAAGAGUCAGAGUCACCAUGGAAGGAUGUCACCUGGGAGGGCUGAGGUCACCUGAGAGGACUGAUGUCAUUGAGGAGGCCUGCCACAGGCCCUGUGGGAUUUGGGGUGCAGCCUGUUCACCCCUCUCCUGACACUGGGUGUCAGGACUGAGCAAGUCACGCACGUCUCAGUUGACAAGGAGUCCAGAGAGAUUCCUGUAGCGAGUGUCCAAGCCCACAUGGCCCGAGAGGACAUAGGAGAGGACCGUGGAUGUCCCUCCCCCUCAGAUGCCAGGCCAGGGAGGCCACCGUGCCAGGCUUGGGACAGCAUCUGUGAGCUAGGCUGGCCAACAGGGCGGGCUGGGGGCCCACCGCAUACAGGGUCCUGGGAAGACCCAGGGGCUGCCUGCCAGGUAUGAGAGGGAGGCUGGGUCCAGACCCUGUGUGUGCAGCCCAUGGAGCCAGCUCAGUGGCUGUCCCUCCAGGAGUGAUCUGGAAACUGGGGGCACAGUGGGAGCAGGCACUUCAGGAACCCCCUCCCUGUCUGCUGCGCUCCAGUGGGGUUCGGGCGGAGGGGACAUUGGAUCCCUGCCAGUUUUCCAAUGAAGGAACAGCUUCCGCGGGAUCCACACUCAUUUCGUGACAAGAGCGACGUCCAUCGGGUACUUUGGCAACUUGUCAAAAAUGCCUCCUGGGAGGACCACUUUGGGACACUGACCAGCUCCUGGACCUUGGGGCAAGCCCAGGAGGAGGGUGUCAUUUCUUGUUCUGAGAUUGGGGGUCAGGCUCAGGUCAGACCAGGAGUCUGUGCCUGAGCCCUCUCCAUCUCAGCAUGACCCCUCUGAGACCCUCCCUCCCUGCCUCGCUUGAAUGUUCAAGCCAACAGCGAGCUUGAGUCCUACCGGCUGCGUCUUGGUAGGUGUCAGAUACUGAAUUUUAAAGAAGCAAUGACACCCCCUACCCAAGACACCCGUGCCUAUGAAUAUGGGAAUGUGACCCGCGAAUAUUGUUGCCUUGGAAUACUCAUGGGAUUAGGUGCAAUAUGCCACCAGGACAAGAAAGACAUGCUGCAGCCUAGGAAAGAGAGAAAAGAGGGUUUGGGUUCACACGGAUGCUGUUUUGUUCUCUCUAUCGUGUUCCAACAAGGAAUCCAAUUCCAGGUCCAGAUGAUGCGCAGAAUAAGCAGUGAGCUCUUCAGGGCCACUGAGUUUUAUGAAAUGUUUUGGUGAAAGUGGAUUUUACUAUUCCCGGGUUGAAGAUUGUCUUGGUGGCCUUCAACUGUGAGUGACGGUGAAUCAAGCUGUGGACGUGGCAUGCAGGUUUUACAUGGCCAUCAGUUUUCAAAUCAGUGGGAUCAGUCUCUGAGAAUCUUCUGGGACAUGUGGCACGAGUCCACCGAGUUUCGUGCAGAGCCGCCCAACGGGUUCCCAAAGGGGCUGUGCCCUGUCGCAUUCCCACCUGGCAGGGACAAAGGUCCCCGGGACCGCACAUCGUCUCGGCAUUUGGUGUCGUCAGUGUGGCUUGGGAAGGCUCCCGAGCCCCUCAUCCUGCCGCCCUCCCGUAGGUUACUGAACUUUCCACCAUUUCUCAUGAUUUUGUUCAUUGCUCUCUGUCUCCUCGGGAGCCACCUGGGCUCCGGCCCCACAUAUCCCAGCCAGGCCCAGGGCUUGCAACCAGGAAGGCACUCAGUCUAUUGUGCUAGCUGCUCCCUGGGCCUGGAAAGCUUUUGGUAGCUCUGUCACCCCUCCUGGGUGACCCCUGCCUCUGCUCUGGUGAAGCUCCCAUCCCUCUGGUUCACGCCAUCUCCCCAGGGCUCUCCAGCCCUGCAAGCCUUAAUUGACACUGCAUUGUGGCCAAAACAUCAUGUGGUUUCUUAGUGUAUGGCUGACAUCCAGGUUGAUCUGGUGGAAGUUCCAGGGGGGACCUCUUUCCCUUCAUCUUCAUGACCUCCAGGGCAGGGCCAGGAAGAGGAAGCAGCCUCUGAACAGAGAGAAGACUGGCUGCCCCACACGGCAGUCGUCCACAGGCAGCCCGGAAGGAAGGAAGGAAAGAAGGAAAGGAAAGGAAAGGAAAGGAAAGGAAAGGAAAGGAAAGGAAAGGAAAGGAAAGGAAAGGAAAGGAAAGGAAAGGAAAGGAAAGGAAAGGAAAGGAAAAAGGAAAGGAAAGGAAAGGAAAAAGGAAAGGAAAAAGGAAAGGAAAGGACAGGAGGAAGGAAGGAAGGAAGGAAGGUUGGUUUCCUUCUGCAGAAAGCUCCUCCUCUGGCUUGGUUCCUUACAAUCCAACUAGUCCUGGAGCUCAGCUCACCUUUGGUGCUGGCAUCACCGUCUCUGCCCAGGAUGUCCGCCUGACCAUGCCCCCUCCACCUUCAACCCAGGCUCUGCGUUCCCUCCAGCUGGAGGCUUGGGCUCUCAACACAGCCUGGCCUGUUUGUCCUCCUCUGGCUGACUUCGGAAGGGUCAUACCUCGUAUUUCCACCAGUUCUCGGCCUUCACCUUCUCGACAUCCAGGAAGUGUGACCACACUUGGCCCCACAUCUAUGGAGAAUGCCUUUAUACACGCUGUCUAUCAACUUGGGACAGAACACUCUGAAGAAACAGGGUCUGGGGCAGCCCCAGGGAGGAUCGGAGCCUGAGGAUUCUGGAAGUCUCCAGUCUCUGACUUGUUGGUUUUUCAGGGGAUGUGCAGUUUACCUAGGACCAGGCCUCCCUCCCACGAUUCAGAGUUAUGAAUUCUCAUCUUGACCUAUUCCUUCCUUCGGUUUGCCAGGGGGUGUCCCUAUCCCUGAGAUAGUCCUGGCUCAUGCCCUGGCAUCACACUGUCUCCAGCAAGUUGAGGUUUGCAGGGACAAACAGGAAAGCUGGUGACCAGACCUGCUGUCCAGGGUGAGGACAGUGUGUCACCCACCCUCUGAGAGGCAGGCAGUGCCAGGACCCAGCCAUGGGAGCCCAUCCCCCUGACUCUGUAGAGAGCGGUCACGGGGGCCCUCCCUCCCCAUGUCACCUCCUUGCCACUCCUAUAUCCCUGCCCGUCUUGAAGCAUCUGGAGCCAUUUCUCUGUGCCUCUCAUCUCCUGACGUCUUUGCUGUCAACUAUGACCAGAAGUUAGCGGAGCUACCAAGGCUUCCUGAAGCAGCCUUUGGAUGCUGUAUCCUGGGCUCCGAGGCCCUGACGGGACUGAACCACAAAAAGAACCAGGAAAGGGCAGGCCCCGGGGACUGAGACCCUCUGACUGAACAGGCGUCUGUGACCUGGCCUCACGACCUGGGACAUGCCAUCCUCAGGCCACAGACACUGGACUUUGGUCAAGUACUAGCCUCCAGGUGGGGUCCUGGUGCAAGCAGACAGCAACCCCCGAGCCGUGACUGCGGUUCUCAGUUUGGAGUUUGGUCAAACAACCAAUGGGGACAGAGUCUUGGGGUCAGGUCCAGCAGGAACUGCCACCCCUCCCAGGGACAGCCUGUCUCUCCCACUCACCAUCGCUGGUGCCCACGGGCUGCUGACCACCUGCCAAGUCCUCCUGUCCCUGGACCAGCCUCUCAGGCAGCAGGUCUUACCUUUGCCUCCAGGGCACUGAUCGAUGGCAGCUUUGUCUCACUGUAAGGCAACCCAGACAGAGCUGAGGGCCUGUGCUGGGCCGGGAGCUGUCCUCCUCCUUCCCUAGCAGUCCUAGGGAAGGACCAGCCGUGUCUCUCCCCACCCCACCCCUGGUCUUAGCCCAGGAGACACACAGGGAAGGUAGGAAGAGGGUCUCCCUGUGGGCUGACGCCUGUGAAGGGACAGGACCUGGGAGAAGAGGGGUGUGUGGGUGGGGCAGGGACCACUAGGGCCCUGUAGAGCAUGGGCUUGGGCUACACAACAGGGCUGCCCCUCCUGGGCUAGAGGCAGUGCCCUCUGCAGGAGCUGAGAAAGUCCAGUCCUGAGAAAGGACGUGUAUGGCCCAGGGUGGGUGACUGGGCCCCAAAAGCAGUCCUCGAGGGAGUGACCACAUUACCAGGCCAGGAUCCUGAGACCUGCCCAGUGCACUGAGGGUGCACCUGGGGCCUGUCCCACCUGAUGUCCCCAAGUGCCCCGCAAGGUCUGAUCUCUCAGCCUCCAUCUACCUCCCCCGGGGGGUGGGGGCUUGCUUUGAGCUGUCCCCACCUUUCUGGAUAGAACUAAUGUACUUCUUACAUAUAUUGAUUGAUGUCUCAUGUCUCCUUAAAAUGUAUAAAAGCAAGCUGUGGGCCAGGCGCAGUGGCUCACGCCUGUAAUCCCAGCACUGUGGGAGGCCGAGGCUGGUGGAUCACGAGGUCAGGAGAUCGAGACCAUCCUGGCUAACACAUAGAAACUCCAUCUCUACUAAAAAGUACAAAAAAUUAGCCAGGCGU